UUAUUUUGUUCCCUGUAUCAAUCCGCAUAAAUCUUUCUCCUUUUACUAAAGAUUUCCGUGGGGAGGAACAAGAAGAGUUUAUCUUGAUUUUUGACGCUCUGCAAAAGCAGAGCU
Syngnathoides biaculeatus (alligator pipefish) is the source of this 114-nucleotide small nuclear RNA. RefSeq annotates it as U5 spliceosomal RNA. NCBI's taxonomy places the organism in Eukaryota, Metazoa, Chordata, Actinopteri, Syngnathiformes, Syngnathidae. The transcript has a single exon. The record is from RefSeq and is a predicted model, not a curated record.